This 497-nucleotide ribosomal RNA is filed under the name uncultured bacterium. RNAcentral's name for it is "partial 16S ribosomal RNA". It matches the Rfam family "Bacterial small subunit ribosomal RNA", at positions 28 to 507 of the family's 1533-position model. The record is from RNAcentral.
GACGAACGCUGGCGGCGUGCCUAAUACAUGCAAGUAGAACGCUGAAGAGAGGAGCUUCCUCUUCUUGGAUGAGUUGCGCACGGGUGAGUAACGCGUAGGUAACCUGCCUUGUAGCGGGGGAUAACUAUUGGAAACGAUAGCUAAUACCGCAUAACAAUGGAUGACACAUGUCAUUUAUUUGAAAGGGGCAAUUGCUCCACUACAAGAUGGACCUGCGUUGUAUUAGCUAGUAGGUGAGGUAAUGGCUCACCUAGGCGACGAUACAUAGCCGACCUGAGAGGGGGAUCGGCCAAACUGGGACUGAGACACGGCCCAGACUCCUACGGGAGGCAGCAGUAGGGAAUCUUCGGCAAUGGGGGCAACCCUGACCGAGCAACGCCGCGUGAGUGAAGAAGGGUUUCGGAUCGUAAAGCUCUGUUGUAAGUCAAGAACGGGUGUGAGAGUGGAAAGUUCACACUGUGACGGUAGCUUACCAGAAAGGGACGGCUAACUACGUG